RNAcentral lists this ribosomal RNA (255 nucleotides) under uncultured bacterium. Its description in RNAcentral is "partial 16S ribosomal RNA". It matches the Rfam family "Bacterial small subunit ribosomal RNA", at positions 57 to 305 of the family's 1533-position model. The record is from RNAcentral.
GCAAGUCGAACGGUAACAUGGCAGAGCUUGCUCUUUUGCUGACGAGUGGCGCACGGGUGCGUAACAAGUAUACAAUCUACCUUUUACAGGGGGAUAGCCUUUAGAAAUGUAGAUUAAUACCCCAUAGUAAGUACCUAUGGCAUCAUGGGAACUUUAAAAUUUCGGUGGUAAAAGAUGAGUAUGCGUUCUAUUAGCUAGAUGGUGUGGUAACGGCACACCAUGGCGACGAUAGAUAGGGGCCCUGAGAGGGGGAUC